UCUGAUAUUGUUUGUAUUUGUAGUUCAAGAUGUCAGACACAGACAGACAACUUCCCACACGAAAUAAAUUUGAUUAAUUGCUCGCGACUUUGAAAUUGAUACUUUUUUAAAAUAAAAUUUGAUGCAAUCCAAAACCUGUUCUGAUAAGAUUUGACAUAAACCUCGAAAAUCGAAAUAAACAACACAGUAUACGCGAUCGACUGUCAGCAUUUCAUUCAGAUUCAGACUGUAGCUCACACAACAAUAUCAAAUUUCUCCCUAAAUAUUCGUUUCUUUCUAUGCUAGCCACAAUAAUAAUUUAGGCUUACACUGCCUCUGCAGGCAGUUGUAGUAGUAAAAACUACUUAGUAGUUUGAUAUUCCAAUCCUUUGUUUCCGAAAAAUAGUCGAUUUUGUGAUCAAAAUGUACAUUUCGUAAUACAAAUCCCUAUUGCACUGACUGGCUUUACUGGC
Molecule: non-coding RNA, 452 nt
Organism: Paramuricea clavata
Lineage: Eukaryota; Metazoa; Cnidaria; Anthozoa; Malacalcyonacea; Plexauridae
Source: the annotation of a GenBank genome assembly